RNAcentral lists this ribosomal RNA (253 nucleotides) under uncultured bacterium. Its description in RNAcentral is "partial 16S ribosomal RNA". It matches the Rfam family "Bacterial small subunit ribosomal RNA", at positions 524 to 776 of the family's 1533-position model. The record is from RNAcentral.
UACGGAGGAUCCAAGCGUUAUCCGGAUUUAUUGGGUUUAAAGGGUGCGUAGGCGGAUUGAUAAGUUAGAGGUGAAAUGUCCGAGCUCAACUCGGGAACUGCCUCUAAUACUGUUGAUCUAGAGAGUAGAUGCGGUAGGCGGAAUGUAUGGUGUAGCGGUGAAAUGCUUAGAGAUCAUACAGAGCACCGAUUGCGAAGGCAGCUUACCAAUCUAUAUCUGACGUUGAGGCACGAAAGCGUGGGGAGCAAACAGG